Esox lucius (northern pike) is the source of this 4082-nucleotide long non-coding RNA. NCBI's taxonomy places the organism in Eukaryota, Metazoa, Chordata, Actinopteri, Esociformes, Esocidae. The record is from Ensembl.
GUAAAUAAAGACAUUGUGUAAUCAUUGCUAUUGCACUUACGUUUUCAUGUAAAGAGUGUCUUUGAGCAUGUCGGGGUGGGUCCCUGGUGACAUGUCUGACCAAAUGUUAUCCAUGAAAAGGCCAACCACAGUGCCGGCACCUGUUCAUAGAUAAUAUAUGAUGAAACAAUCAUCACAGAACAUGGACAUUGACCAAAGAAACAAGACUCAGUUGUGGUUAUGAAGACAGAAAUUUAACAAAACAAUGAGCGUACCUGGUUGGUUGUUACUAGAUGCUAUAAUGGACCAUUUUCCUAUCAACUGAUUAGAGCAGAGACACAGAUUAAACAGACUGGGAAGGAAUAUACAGGUCUGGAAAAAAUUAAGAGACUGCUGCACCUUUUUCUUUCCUUUCCAAAACAGUCCAAAAGGAAGGUUUAGAGUGAGGAACAGAAGGGUUUAAAUUAAGAGACCGCUUCGAAUUGAACGCUUCUGUUCUUCACUCAAAACUUUCCUUUUUGACUUUUUUGAAAAGGAAAGAAAAAGGUGCAGUGGUCUCUUAAGCUGUAUAUAUUAUUGAAUAUGUGUGUGAUAUUUAUAGACACAUAUAUAAUACAGAAAUGCACACGCUAAGAACAAUAAAAGCACAUAGACAUUAGGGGCAGUGGCGUUUUUAUGUGUAAAAAAUUGGUGGGGCACAAACCAUUUCAAAAUAUACGAUACAUACCAGUAAAGCUACAAAACUCCCUCUUGCUACUGAUGUGUUUAUUUAACACAUCAACAAACAGCGCGGCUCCACAAAACACCUUUAACGACAGAGAGGCUUGCUUCUACCAGGUGUUGUAGUACACAUACUGGAGAGAGAGAGAGACCUUCUUGUGUAAUUUCUCUCCUUCUCUCUCACACACAUGUAAAAUUACCACUGUCACAUUUACAAACCUAAAUUAGGAAUGCAACCAAGCUCAGAACCAAUGUGCCUACAGGGCCAUAUGCAAACAGCAAUGAGCUCAACACCACUGAAGUCUUUCCGCUUUGUUGUGGCCAACUUUUUAGGGAUACAGAUCCAUUCUAUGACAACAGCCUUAAUAGAUAAGCAUAUACACACUAACACUUGUCACCAUCUAUAUCAAUCAAUCCAGCAAAGAAAUAUGACCAAUGCACGGACCAGGCAGGAUGAUAAAAUAUGCUUUCACUGGCUGAGGGCUCACUUGAAGAGAAAGGUGGCAAGGCGGUUCUUCCUCUGGGCAAACUUUUCAAUGACUUUGGGAAUGAAGUCAUGUAGCUGCUGAAUCAGCUGGCUUUCGAUGGACAACAUGGCCAAUGUGCUGAGUCACAGCUGUCCCAUGGUAUUGCGAGGGAAGGUUUUCACCCUAUUCAAGGUGGAAAAGUUCCUCUCUGACUCGGAUGUCGUCAUAGGUGUUGUUAUGAUAAUUUUCAGCAGAGUGACGGUCUCAGCAAAAGCCUCCUCUAGGUUGUUCUCAUGGAUGGAUCUUAACAGAGACAAGGCCGUUUUACCAGUGUGAAGCUCAGUGUGGUGGUACAGAGUGGUCAGCUCAGACUUUUCCUCGUUUCCUAGAGGACAUAGUUUCACCGCACAGUCAAGCUCAGAUGUAGGGAAUGACAGGACAAAUUGUGGGAAGAGUGAAAACCUCUGCUCCACCUGGGAGAUGACUGUGUCGCAUGCCUCCUUCAUCACUGGCGCUGUGUUGGUUACUCGUCAGCCUGGCUCGUCUGUUCCAUCGAGAACGGUGGCAGCCCAUUCAUCAGUUUGUUUCCGCAUAUUCUGGACAUUCUCCUUGAAACAGGUGAGCGCACUACUAAUCCCAGAUGCAUCGAUGCUCCGUCUUUUAUAAGUGUUUUAUAAAACAUAAUAUUCGGGUAUAAAUUUUUGACAGGCCGUAUGCCUCACUUAUGGUGGCCUCAUCCCAUCCUGGUUGUGUGCGUAUGUCCUCCAUACACAGUUCGGUUUUCCCGAACUGCAUUAACAGUUCUACUUUUAAAGUUCCAUCGUACAGCGGGUGGCCUUGGAAUGUGUCUCUGUGUUGCCUCAGCAAGUGCCGCAACACGUUUUGGAGUGCCAGAGAAAAAGAUGGCAAAAGCAGUUAAAUCUGCAAAAAACACCUUCAGGUUGCUGCAAGGUCAGGUUCAGCUGUUGAGCAUAGCAGUGAACAAACUGGGCAUGUGGGUAUGUCUCUUUCAUUAGUGUCUGUACCCCUCGGACGUUUCCACUCAUUACAGCCGCACCAUCAUAAGUCUGAGUGAUCAGCUUUGCUUACAGCUUCAGUGGUUCCAGCACACCCUUGAUGCUAUUAGAGAGGCUGAGUCCAGUUUUAACUUUGACUUCCACAAACUCCAAAAACCUCUCUGUCACUGUAUUGUCAGGCAACAUGUAUCGCAACACCACCACCAUUUGUGAUUUACAGGAGACAUCAGAUUUCUCAUCUGCCUGUAUAGCAACAAAUGAUUCCUCCUCUUGCUUGGCUAUCUCCUCCCUGUACACUUCAUACAUACAGUCUAACAGUUUGUUUUGUACAGUGCUAGAUUUCCCUUUGAAGAUGGGCUGAGCAUCAUGGUGCCUCUGAAGUCUCUAUUCACCCUCACACACAGAUUCAAAAAUGCAUCUGAAUAUUCCAGGAUUCAGGGACUCGUCAUGCCCCGCAGUGUAGUUUCACAUUUUCCACACAGUUUAAUACGUUAUGAUCCAACUGAGAACGUACCUGUUUUCCUCCACCUGUUUGUUAUGCUGCUCAAUGGAGCGCCUGUAUGCACUGUCAACUUGGGCUGUGACAUUCAUCCUUCCAAGUAAGACCAAUUUCACAGCAUUGUCCAGAUGACUCCCGCUGCUCUCAUGUUUUGCAAUACUCCCCGCCCUCGACCAAGUACUUAGCCCCACUAGAACCCCCGAGAGAGAUCCGCAAAGACGUGCCGUUUUUGCCUAAUCACAUGGUUAAAAGGACGUGGUGUUUUUCCAAAAAAUCCUCUCGGUUUUUUCAUAGCUAAUUCAUGGACAAACAGUGCAGGUGCUUAAACUACGAGUCUGGACCUAUACAUUAGUGUUUGAAUUAAUGCCUUUUCGUAGCCUAAUCACUAGCCGAAAAUAUUUUGUAUUUCAACAGUUAUGGUUUCAAACUUUUCUUCAAAUGUUCUAUAGAUACCGCGAUAAUAUCGUUAUAGAUACCGUGAUAAUAUUGUUACAGUACAUACUGUAUGUACUGGUGGGUACAUUUUGGGGAGAUUAGUAUUACAUAUGUAUAUCAUCUGCCUAUCUUUUAGUUGGGAAAUCAGAUAGCAAGACUUCUGCAAUGGGGGGUGGUGGCAGGAGGGGGGCCUCCGCGGCUAAAAUUCACACCUAUGGGAGCGAACGCUAUGCUCCGCGCACUGCUUGAAGGUCUCUUCUUAAAAAGUCCACCAAAGCAUGUUGGAUCAGUUUUGUAUUCCAAGGACCGUCACACAAAAUACUGAAAAUUAUAGGGUAUUUUCUCAAAGAAAUUUGUGCUUACUACUCAAAUGAAUGGCUUUUCUAAAACAGCCUAAGACUUUGCACAGUUCUGUUUAUAUUGAUACUCACCGGAUCUAUGGUUUUCAUCUCUAGAGGUUUCAGAAGAGUCUCGCAGGUUUGAGAAACAGGAGCCGUCUGACACAUUGAACCCAGACUGAAGAUCACAGCAACACACACCACCAACAUGCUGAAAUUACCCACGUAGUACCUAUGUAUAACUAUGUAUUCCUUAUGGCUUCUAAUAUAGCGCCUAUGUAGUGUAGUCUUUAUGUAUCACUAUGUAUUCCUUAUGGCUUCCAGUAUAUUCUCAAUGUAUCACCAUGUAUGUCGUAUAAUAUAGUCCCUAUGCACCACUGUGUAUCCCUUAUGGCUUCUGAUACAGUCUCUAUAUAGUCCCUAUCUAUCUCGUGGUAUACCUUACGGCUUGUACUAUAGUCUCUAUGUAUCACUAUGUACCCCGUAUGGCUUCUAUAGUCACUAUGUAGUCCCUAUGUAACUCUAUGUAUCCCUUAUGGCUUGUCCCAGUGCUUUCUGUCCUCUUGCUGCCUAUGUAAUUAUUUCCUAAAUAUGGUGUCACAGCAGGGUCUUAUACCCUCGGAGGUGC